This 235-nucleotide ribosomal RNA is filed under the name uncultured bacterium. Its description in RNAcentral is "partial 16S ribosomal RNA". It matches the Rfam family "Bacterial small subunit ribosomal RNA", at positions 118 to 351 of the family's 1533-position model. The record is from RNAcentral.
UGAGGAACAUGACUUUCGGCGGGGGAUAGCCGGCCCAGCGGCCGGGUAAUACCGCGUACGACCUUUUGGGGACAUCCCCGAUUGGUGAAAGCAGCAAUGCGCCGAAAGAGUGCCUCGCGGCCUAUCAGCUAGUUGGUGGGGUAAUGGCUCACCAAGGCGACGACGGGUAGCCGGCCUGAGAGGGUGACCGGCCACACUGGGACUGAGACACGGCCCAGACUCCUACGGGAGGCAG